Molecule: ribosomal RNA, 406 nt
Filed under: uncultured bacterium
Lineage: Bacteria
Description: partial 16S ribosomal RNA
Rfam family: Bacterial small subunit ribosomal RNA
Source: RNAcentral
AUUGAACGCUAGCGACAGGCUUAACACAUGCAAGUCGAGGGACCGGCGCACGGGUGAGUAACACGUAUCCAACCUGCCCUUUACUCGGGGAUAGCCUUUCGAAAGAAAGAUUAAUACCCGAUAUAAAGGAUGGGGAUGCGUUCGAUUAGGUUGUGGGUGAGGUAACGGCUCACCAAGCCGUCGAUGGGUAGGGGUUGUGAGAGGAAGGUCCCCCACAUUGGAACUGGGACACGGUCCAAACUCCUACGGGAGGCAGCAGUGAGGAAUAUUGGUCAAUGGGCGCUAGCCUGACCCAGCCAAGUAGCGUGAAGGAUGAAGGCUUUUGGGGCGUAAACUUCUUUUUUAUAAGCAUAUGUAUUAUAUGAAUAAGGAUCGGCUAACUCCGUGCCAGCCGCCGCGGUAAUUC